UUUAAUAACAAUCGGUAUGUUGCUUUUGUGACAUUUUUCGGAGUUGGGUCAUCUUAAUCUUUUAAGGGACUUAAAAUUGAUGUUUUCGCGUAUCUUGACGUGUAUAAUUUUUUAUCUCGUCACUGGAUGCCGGGGUAUUAUUAGGUGUGACUAUGCUAAGUGGUUUCAUGCCUAUAGGAUUCUUGA
RNAcentral lists this unclassified non-coding RNA (186 nucleotides) under uncultured Glomeraceae. Its description in RNAcentral is "sequence contains ITS2". The record is from RNAcentral. Lineage: Eukaryota; Fungi; Glomeromycota; Glomeromycetes; Glomerales; Glomeraceae.